ACCUGACUGGCUCAGUCAGUAGAGCAUGCAAGUUUUGAUCUUGGGGUCAUGAGUUCAAGUCCCAUGUUGGGCA
RNAcentral lists this transfer RNA (73 nucleotides) under Felis catus (domestic cat). It matches the Rfam family "tRNA". From Rfam's summary of the family: Transfer RNA (tRNA) molecules are approximately 80 nucleotides in length. Their secondary structure includes four short double-helical elements and three loops (D, anti-codon, and T loops). Lineage: Eukaryota; Metazoa; Chordata; Mammalia; Carnivora; Felidae. RNAcentral also lists the same sequence under 5 other names. The record is from Rfam by way of RNAcentral.